This 253-nucleotide ribosomal RNA is filed under the name uncultured bacterium. RNAcentral's name for it is "partial 16S ribosomal RNA". It matches the Rfam family "Bacterial small subunit ribosomal RNA", at positions 524 to 776 of the family's 1533-position model. The record is from RNAcentral.
UACGUAGUUCGCAAGCGUUGUCCGGAUUUACUGGGCGUAAAGAGCGCGCAGGCGGCUGGUCAAGUCCGAUGUGAAAUCUCCCGGCUCAACUGGGAAACUGCAUCGGAAACUGAUCGGCUUGAAGAUGGGAGAGGGUAGUGGAAUUCCCGGUGUAGUGGUGAAAUGCGUAGAUAUCGGGAGGAACACCAGUGGCGAAGGCGACUACCUGGCCUGUUCUUGACGCUGAGGCGCGAAAGCUAGGGGAGCAAACGGG